UACGUAGGGUGCAAGCGUUAAUCGGAAUUACUGGGCGUAAAGCGUGCGUAGGCGGUUUUGUAAGUCAGAUGUGAAAUCCCCGGGCUUAACCUGGGAACUGCGUUUGAAACUACAAGGCUAGAGUGUGACAGAGGGGGGUGGAAUUCCACGUGUAGCAGUGAAAUGCGUAGAGAUGUGGAGGAACACCGAUGGCGAAGGCAGCCCCCUGGGUUAACACUGACGCUGAGGAGCGAAAGCGUGGGGAGCGAACAGG
Molecule: ribosomal RNA, 253 nt
Filed under: uncultured bacterium
Lineage: Bacteria
Description: partial 16S ribosomal RNA
Rfam family: Bacterial small subunit ribosomal RNA
Source: RNAcentral